GAUGAACGCUGGCGGCGUGCCUAAUACAUGCAAGUCGAGCGAACAGACGAGGAGCUUGCUCCUCUGACGUUAGCGGCGGACGGGUGAGUAACACGUGGAUAACCUACCUAUAAGACUGGGAUAACUUCGGGAAACCGGAGCUAAUACCGGAUAAUAUAUUGAACCGCAUGGUUCAAUAGUGAAAGACGGUUUUGCUGUCACUUAUAGAUGGAUCCGCGCCGCAUUAGCUAGUUGGUAAGGUAACGGCUUACCAAGGCAACGAUGCGUAGCCGACCUGAGAGGGUGAUCCGCCAACAUGGAACUGAGACACGGUCCAGACUCCUACGGGAGGCAGCAGUAGGGAAUCUUCCGGAAAGGGCGGAAGCCUGACGGAGCAACGCCGCGGGGGUGAUGAAGGUCUUCGGAUUGUAAAACUCUGUUAUUAGGGAAGAACAAAUGUGUAAGUAACUAUGCACGUCUUGACGGUACCUAAUCAGAAAGCCACGGCUAACUACGUG
Molecule: ribosomal RNA, 497 nt
Filed under: uncultured bacterium
Lineage: Bacteria
Description: partial 16S ribosomal RNA
Rfam family: Bacterial small subunit ribosomal RNA
Source: RNAcentral